This 442-nucleotide ribosomal RNA is filed under the name uncultured ammonia-oxidizing beta proteobacterium. RNAcentral's name for it is "bacterial SSU rRNA". It matches the Rfam family "Bacterial small subunit ribosomal RNA", at positions 198 to 621 of the family's 1533-position model. Lineage: Bacteria; Pseudomonadati; Pseudomonadota; Betaproteobacteria. The record is from RNAcentral.
GGAGGAAAGCAGGGGAUCGCAAGACCUUGCGCUUUUGGAGUGGCCGAUGCCUGAUUAGCUAGUUGGUGGGGUAAGAGCCUACCAAGGCGACGAUCAGUAGUUGGUCUGAGAGGACGACCAGCCACACUGGGACUGAGACACGGCCCAGACUCCUACGGGAGGCAGCAGUGGGGAAUUUUGGACAAUGGGCGAAAGCCUGAUCCAGCAAUGCCGCGUGAGUGAAGAAGGCCUUCGGGUUGUAAAGCUCUUUCAGUCGAGAAGAAAAGGUUGCGACUAAUAAUCGCAACUUAUGACGGUAUCGACAGAAGAAGCACCGGCUAACUACGUGCCAGCAGCCGCGGUAAUACGUAGGGUGCGAGCGUUAAUCGGAAUUACUGGGCGUAAAGGGUGCGCAGGCGGCUCUGUAAGUCAGAUGUGAAAUCCCCGGGCUUAACCUGGGAAU